Molecule: long non-coding RNA, 289 nt
Filed under: Hordeum vulgare
Lineage: Eukaryota; Viridiplantae; Streptophyta; Magnoliopsida; Poales; Poaceae
Description: long non-coding RNA (HVUL_LNC009132)
Source: RNAcentral
UCUUAUUCUUCCUUUUUAUCUUAUUUCUUUUUCUCCAUCUUCUACUCCUUCUUCUUAUUCUUAUGCUUAUUCUUCUUCUUUCUUCUUCUUCUUUCUUUCUUCUUCUUAUUUUUCUUCUCUUUCUUCUUCUUCUUCUUCUUCUUCUCCUUCUUCUCCUUCUUCUUCUUCUUCUUCUUCUUCUUAUUAUUAUUAUUAUUAUUAUUAUUAUUAUUAUUAUAGUCUUCUUUUUCUUCUUCUUCUAACUUUCUUACUCCCAUUUUUGCAGAUUUGAUUCUCUUCAUCGAAGCUG